This 304-nucleotide small RNA is filed under the name Histoplasma ohiense. RNAcentral's name for it is "hypothetical lncRNA". Lineage: Eukaryota; Fungi; Ascomycota; Eurotiomycetes; Onygenales; Ajellomycetaceae. The record is from RNAcentral.
AUGACCCCAGUCCUGACCGAGUUGUGUGACUUGAUUCAAUCGGGUGAAUACUUAAGCAUCAUUUGACAGACCAACAGAAAGUCCUUAUAGCUGAAGUGGGAGUAUCGAUGGAGUACUUCAAGAUUUAUCUGAUAUCUCGUCUCACAUCAAUCACCCUCUUGUUAUUCCUUUAUAUUCUUACCGUUCUUUGGCGUUCUACGAUGAGGAUGCUUGAAAGGGGAAACUCGACAAAACAUACAUUUUCUAUUGCACUUGACGGAUUUCCUUUGCUAUCAUUCCUCGUACUUGAUAUCCCGGCUUGCAU